This 305-nucleotide unclassified non-coding RNA is filed under the name Hevea brasiliensis (rubber tree). Lineage: Eukaryota; Viridiplantae; Streptophyta; Magnoliopsida; Malpighiales; Euphorbiaceae. The record is from RNAcentral.
UGGUACAAGUUAAUUGCAUCACCGGAAACACAAGUGAGUGCAGAGAGUACAUCGGCCCAACAAGGGUGGAGGCAGGUAAUGGAUGCUCUAUGUGAUGUUGUUUCUGCUUCACCAACCAAAGCAUCAACUGCCAUUGUUCUUCAGGCGGAAAGGGAUUUGCAGCCCUGGAUUGCUAGAGACGACGAGCAAGGUCAGAAAAUGUGGAGAAUCAAUCAACGGAUUGUUAAACUGAUUGUCGAACUUCUGAGAAAUCACAAUCCCGAAGUACUCGUAGUUCUAGCAAGCUCAUCAGAUCUGCUUCUCCG